Molecule: long non-coding RNA, 1039 nt
Organism: Hydra vulgaris (swiftwater hydra)
Lineage: Eukaryota; Metazoa; Cnidaria; Hydrozoa; Anthoathecata; Hydridae
Source: RefSeq, a predicted model, not a curated record
CAACAUUCUUGAGGUUGUAAAGAUUUUAAAAUCAGCAUUUUAGAAGAACAUGGAAUUUGAAUCAAUUUUAUUAAAUUGCUUGCUUUAAGGUUAUUUGACACGUCAACUAAAGUUCUCACUGUUGCGCAAGAGCUUCAAUCAGCAUCCGUUGUGACAUCGAUCAAGUUGUAUCUCUUCUGACGGAAAUAAAAGAGAAAAAGAAAGUCUAAGAGCAAGCAAAAGUUGAAAGAAUAGACAAACGCUUAGCAACUGAGUUGGCGAAGAAAUCAAAACCCCCAGUAAAAAAAAAAGUUGUGUAUACUAAGCCAAUACAAACAAAAGAAGAAAGUCUAAAACAGCAUCUCAUUCAGAUUGCACGCAAUGAUAUGACCGGGGAUUUCUAGUUUAAUUUGUAACUAAAGUAAAAAAAAAAAAAACUUUGAUUCUUUAACAAUAGUUUAGACUUGAAAAUAAAUCUUUAUCAAAAAGAAAAAAACCUAUUUAAAAAAAAAAAUAAAUAAUUGUGGCGAACACUAGCAACAAAAAAAAUUAUCAGAUAGCGAACAUAUGUUUCAUGCUAGUGGUCGCCAUUUGGCUUUUACGGGUGCUAUAGCUCCCAGUUUUAUUAUCGGAGGUAAUUUAUUUUAUAGUCAUCAUAAAGACUAACUAUCGAUCGGCUAAGAUUAAAAUAUUUAUCAUUUAUGUAAAAACGAGUGAGAAAUAAAUACUUAUAUCGGACUAAGUCUGAAAAAGUGGCGAACACUGGGUGUUUUACCCUAUGCCGAUAAAAAGAAAUAAUACUUUCGGUGAUAAAAGCCAUAAAAUUAAGAGGACUGAGACUCGCUUCCUGUUCUGACCAUAUUCGUGACAUAAUUGAGGAAAGCAGCGUAAAAAUUCAUAAACAAGAGGUAUUCUGUAAGAAGACCGUUAGGACUUAUUACAGAAGUUUUAUCGUUUUUUUUUUAUAAAAAUUAAAUAAAAUCUACAUUUUAUGAGGAAGACAUACACAAUAGCCACAAUAGAUUGAUUGUGAUAAUAAUCCAGAUAAAUAACCAGUUGG